UUAAGUUCAGCGGGUAUCCCUACCUGAUCCGAGGUCAAAUUCAUGGGGGUAGCUUCUGGGAGCCGAUCCGUCGGGCCCGAGUUCGCGUUUCUGCUGCGCUCGAAGCCAACGUGCCGGCCGCCAAUAGAUUUGAGGCGGACGUCCGCGCGUGAGGCAGGACAGACGCCCAACACCAAGCAGAGCUUGAAGGUUUGAAUGAC
RNAcentral lists this unclassified non-coding RNA (200 nucleotides) under Preussia sp. (in: ascomycete fungi). RNAcentral's name for it is "Preussia sp. (in: Fungi) partial internal transcribed spacer 2". The record is from RNAcentral. Lineage: Eukaryota; Fungi; Ascomycota; Dothideomycetes; Pleosporales; Sporormiaceae.